GAUGAACGCUGGCGGCGUGCCUAAUACAUGCAAGUCGAGCGAACGGACUAGAAGCUUGCUUCUCUGAUGUUAGCGGCGGACGGGUGAGUAACACGUGGAUAACCUACCUAUAAGACUGGGAUAACUUCGGGAAACCAUAGCUAAUACCGGAUAAUAUUUUGAACCGCAUGGUUCAAAAGUGAAAGACGGUCUUGCUGUCACUUAUAGAUGGAUCCGCGCUGCAUUAGCUAGUUGGUAAGGUAACGGCUUACCAAGGCAACGAUGCAUAGCCGACCUGAGAGGGUGAUCGGCCACACUGGAACUGAGACACGGUCCAGACUCCUACGGGAGGCAGCAGUAGGGAAUCUUCCGCAAUGGGCGAAAGCCUGACGGAGCAACGCCGCGUGAGUGAUGAAGGUCUUCGGAUCGUAAAACUCUGUUAUUAGGGAAGAACAUAUGUGUAAGUAACUGUGCACAUCUUGACGGUACCUAAUCAGAAAGCCACGGCUAACUACGUG
RNAcentral lists this ribosomal RNA (497 nucleotides) under uncultured bacterium. RNAcentral describes it as "partial 16S ribosomal RNA". It matches the Rfam family "Bacterial small subunit ribosomal RNA", at positions 28 to 507 of the family's 1533-position model. The record is from RNAcentral.